Molecule: small nucleolar RNA, 84 nt
Organism: Bison bison bison
Lineage: Eukaryota; Metazoa; Chordata; Mammalia; Artiodactyla; Bovidae
Gene: SNORD14
Rfam family: Small nucleolar RNA SNORD14
About the family: U14 small nucleolar RNA (U14 snoRNA) is required for early cleavages of eukaryotic precursor rRNAs. In yeasts, this molecule possess a stem-loop region (known as the Y-domain) which is essential for function.
Source: Ensembl
UCACAAUGAUGAAUGGUCCAAAACAUUCGCGGUUUCCACCAGAACCCUAGAUGUUGGCAAUUCCUUCCUUGGAUGUCUGAGUGA